GACGAACGCUGGCGGCGUGCUUAACACAUGCAAGUCGAACGGAAAGGCCCUGCUUUUGUGGGGUUCUCGAGUGGCGAACGGGUGAGUAACACGUGAGUAACCUGCCCUUGACUUUGGGAUAACUUCAGGAAACUGGGGCUAAUACCGGAUAGGAGCUCCUGCUGCAUGGUGGGGGUUGGAAAUUUUCGGCGGUUGGGGAUGGACUCGCGGCUUAUCAGCUUGUUGGUGGGGUAGUGGCUUACCAAGGCUUUGACGGGUAGCCGGCCUGAGAGGGUGACCGGCCACAUUGGGACUGAGAUACGGCCCAGACUCCUACGGGAGGCAGCAGUGGGGAAUAUUGCACAAUGGGCGGAAGCCUGAUGCAGCAACGCCGCGUGCGGGAUGACGGCCUUCGGGUUGUAAACCGCUUUCGCCUGUGACGAAGCGUGAGUGACGGUAAUGGGUAAAGAAGCACCGGCUAACUACGUG
This 468-nucleotide ribosomal RNA is filed under the name uncultured bacterium. RNAcentral describes it as "partial 16S ribosomal RNA". It matches the Rfam family "Bacterial small subunit ribosomal RNA", at positions 28 to 507 of the family's 1533-position model. The record is from RNAcentral.